RNAcentral lists this long non-coding RNA (1352 nucleotides) under Anser cygnoides (Swan goose). Its description in RNAcentral is "lncRNA (ENSACDG00005003477.1)". Lineage: Eukaryota; Metazoa; Chordata; Aves; Anseriformes; Anatidae. The record is from RNAcentral.
AUGGGGCAUUCGGAUAACGACGGGGGCCGGCCCUAUGAGACCCUCGAAGGCCUGCAGCGCCCAGAGCGCCGCCAGGCACCCCUUCUCCCCGGGCGGAUAGAGGACCUCGUGGUCCUUCAGGGGCCAGGAGCUGAAGCGCACCGGCACCAGCUCCCCCCGCUCGUCCUCCUGCAGCAAGGCGGCCCCCGCAGCCCCGUCGCUCGCCCUCAGCCUGAUGACGAAGGGCUCGGACUUCUCCGGGAAGCGCAGGGCGGGCGCGGCGAGGACGGCGCGCUGCAGGCGGCUCAGCGCCUGCCGCUGCUCGGCUCCCCACACCCAGGCCGCCUGCUUCCUCGUGAGCCUCUGCAGCGGCCGCGCCAGCUCCGCGUAGCCCUCGACGUACUUCUCCAGGGAGCUCAGGAGGGUGCCAGGGGGAUGGCGAAGGAGCUGCAGGACAGGUCGACCACCGAGAAGAACCUGCUGCGGGGGCUCAGGGACGUCACCGCCUCGGUUAUGUCCAGGGACUCGGCGGCCUCGCGGAGGGCGACCCUGUUGAGGGCUCUGCAGUCGAGCGUCAGCCUCCAACGUUCCCCGGGGCCUUUCCGAUAGAGCCACAGGGGGCUGUUGGAGGCCGACGUGCCUCUCACCACCACGCCGCCGCGCAGCAUCUCCGGCAGGACGGCGGCCACCGCGUCCUCCAGGUGUUUGGGAAGCGGCUUCUGGGCUUGGAACGGCACCGGCCCCGUCGUCCUCACCUCCACCUCCUCGCCCACCAGCCCGCAGUCCAGCUCGUAUCUCGCCCACACGGCUGGAAAUUCCUCCCUCCACCGCUCUUUGCUCCUGUCCUGCAGCUCCAUGGCCCCAAAGAUCCGCAUCGCGGGGGGGGGGGGCCGGGAAGCGACGCUGGGGCUCUCCUUCCUCUCGGCCGGGUGCCGGCGCUGCGGGGGCCGGCGGAGGGGAACGGGGGGGCCUUGCUUCCAAGGGAAGGGUUUUGCUCCACCAGCCGCGGUGGGACGAGCAGCACAAGGGUUAAAAGCUGGGUCUGUGCCACGGGGAGGAAGAGGAAGGUGGCGUUUCGGUCCCCGUCCCCCCUCCCGGGGCUAGAAGAUGGCAGCCGGGUCACGCGUCCCCUCCUCUUCCUGGCACCGAGCUGCCGGGGCUGGGGGAGGAGAGCGGAGCAUCAGGGGGUGCUGGACCCCAAACGGUGCUCCCCAAGGAGCUGGGGUGGGGGGGGGGUGUGCGGCAUCGAAGCCCCGUGCCCACGGUGGGGCUGGGCGGAGGUGGGAGCCUGGUGGUGCCUGCACAGGGACAGGGCAGCCCUGGGGGCCGCAAGCGUGCAGCCGCGGACCCAGAGGUGCCGCUGGUGGUGCCGA